CAGACAUGUGCUCUUCCUAUACUGGUUGUGGAUCCACUGAUGCUGUUGCGUCACAUUAGCAGGUAAAUAAAGACCCCUCAUACGUUUACAGUAUAGUAGCAUAAGCCAAGUAACUUAUUAAAAUGGACUGUUUAUACUUAUAAAAGAAAUGUUCAUCUUUAUCUUUACAUUUCGAGCAAACCUGGUCCAUUGAGCUCUCUGCCACGAUCCCUCUCUUCUA
Sinocyclocheilus grahami is the source of this 220-nucleotide long non-coding RNA. RefSeq lists it as uncharacterized. The record is from RefSeq and is a predicted model, not a curated record. Lineage: Eukaryota; Metazoa; Chordata; Actinopteri; Cypriniformes; Cyprinidae. The transcript is spliced from 3 exons.